GUUAAGGUGGCAGAAUCUGGCUAUCGCAAAAGGCCUAAGCCCUUUCAACAGAGGUUCAAAUCCUCUCCUUAACU
RNAcentral lists this transfer RNA (74 nucleotides) under Eopsetta jordani (Petrale sole). RNAcentral's name for it is "tRNA-Leu". It matches the Rfam family "tRNA". From Rfam's summary of the family: Transfer RNA (tRNA) molecules are approximately 80 nucleotides in length. Their secondary structure includes four short double-helical elements and three loops (D, anti-codon, and T loops). The record is from RNAcentral. Lineage: Eukaryota; Metazoa; Chordata; Actinopteri; Pleuronectiformes; Pleuronectidae.